AAGAUGCUAGUAUAAAUAUAUUACACUGCCUUGUCAAGGCAAAAUUGUAGGUUAAAAUCCUGCGCAUCUUA
This 71-nucleotide transfer RNA is filed under the name Ponticola kessleri (bighead goby). Its description in RNAcentral is "tRNA-Asp". It matches the Rfam family "tRNA". From Rfam's summary of the family: Transfer RNA (tRNA) molecules are approximately 80 nucleotides in length. Lineage: Eukaryota; Metazoa; Chordata; Actinopteri; Gobiiformes; Gobiidae. The record is from RNAcentral.